CCCAGCCCCGGGCGCCCAGCACUCACUCAUCGCGUGUGUAGCAGGGCCGGUCUUCCGGGCCUGCUCCUCACCCUGGAUCCAGACGAAGCCGUAGAGGAAGUAGAAGCGGCCGCCAGUAUUGGGCCCAGGCCGCCAGUAGGCGCGGCGGAUCUCGUUGGUUUUCUCGGUGAAGCUGGAGUUCUGGCGGAUCUUGUAGUGCACGUGAGGCGGGAGCGAGCCGUCCUUCCGGGUCUGG
RNAcentral lists this long non-coding RNA (235 nucleotides) under Homo sapiens (human). Its description in RNAcentral is "PREDICTED lncRNA (TCONS_00263759)". Lineage: Eukaryota; Metazoa; Chordata; Mammalia; Primates; Hominidae. The record is from RNAcentral.